Molecule: ribosomal RNA, 459 nt
Filed under: uncultured bacterium
Lineage: Bacteria
Description: partial 16S ribosomal RNA
Rfam family: Bacterial small subunit ribosomal RNA
Source: RNAcentral
CCUACGGGUGACUGCAGUGAGGAAUAUUGGUCAAUGGGCGCGAGCCUGAACCAGCCAAGUCGCGUGAGGGAAGACGGUCCUAUGGAUUGUAAACCUCUUUUGUCGGGGAGCAAAAGACGCCACGCGUGGCGUUCCGAGAGUACCCGAAGAAAAAGCAUCGGCUAACUCCGUGCCAGCAGCCGCGGUAAUACGGAGGCUGCGAGCGUUAUCCGGAUUUAUUGGGUUUAAAGGGUGCGCAGGCGGAAGAUCAAGUCAGCGGUAAAAUUGAGAGGCUCAACCUCGUCGAGCCGUUGAAACUGGUUUUCUUGAGUGAGUGAGAAGUAUGCGGAAUGCGUGGUGUAGCGGUGAAAUGCAUAGAGAUCACGCAGAACUCCGAUUGCGAAGGCAGCAUACCGGCGCUCAACUGACGCUCAUGCACGAAAGUGUGGGUAGCGAACAGGAUUAGAUACCCGGGUAGUC